UACGUAGGUGGCUAGCGUUGUCCGGAUUUACUGGGCGUAAAGAGCGCGCAGGCGGUCGUUCAAGUCGAGUGUGAAAGCCCCCGGCUCAACUGGGGAGGGUCACUCGAUACUGAUCGACUUGAAGGCGGGAGAGGGAAGCGGAAUUCCCGGUGUAGUGGUGAAAUGCGUAGAGAUCGGGAAGAACAUCAGUGGCGAAGGCGGCCUGCUGGGCUGUUGCUGACGCUGAGGCGCGACAGCGUGGGGAGCAAACAGG
RNAcentral lists this ribosomal RNA (253 nucleotides) under uncultured bacterium. RNAcentral describes it as "partial 16S ribosomal RNA". It matches the Rfam family "Bacterial small subunit ribosomal RNA", at positions 524 to 776 of the family's 1533-position model. The record is from RNAcentral.